AAAAAAGAGUAAACAAGGCAGACUCCUGCAAUGUCCAAUACAGACCCAGAACGACGACCGACGACCGACGACAGAAGCCAAACUCGAAGCUUAGGGCUUUUUCCACUCACACUUCCUACUAAGCUACCCCAUACCCUUCUUUCUCGCUGCAAUUCGUUGGUAGAGCUUCAAGAGAUUCAAUCAGCUUUACAUUACUUUUCUUUGCUUUAAUCGUCAUUAAUUAACUUUGUUCUGAUACUUCUUUGAGAAUUUUAUGUGUUGGAUCUGUUUCUUCUUAGUGUUUGAUGCAGAAUUGGUAGUUUGCCUCUCCAGAUGACGCCAGUCUGUCCCUUUAUGAAAGCUGCGGGCCCUGAUGAUUCGACGUCGAAGAAACCGGGGGAAAUUCCGAGCAAACAUGGGACGGAGCACGGCAGGAAGGGGAAGAAAUAGUCUGGAGAAUCUUCCAGCAUUUCUCCGAAGUGUCCCUUUGGAUAUGAUUCUGCCAGCGCUAAAUCUGGCAGCAUUUCUCCAAAGGGUCCCUUAGGAUAUGAUUCUCAAACAUUUAAAAUUGGGCCUCUCAGUUGUGUUUUAUGCCAAGCACUUCUCUUUGAGAGUAGCAGAUGUGUGCCUUGCUCUCAUGUUUAUUGCAAGUGAGCCUGAAAGAUUUCGAAUAUAUGCGUACAUUAGUUGUUUUGUUUAUAACUUGUUUAUUUUAAUUGUUGCAAAGCUUGUAUUUCCCGCUUUGUAGAUCGUCCACUGUGUGGAUCUGACAUUGAGAAGAUUGAAGCUGAUAGCAAUCUCCAGGCUGUUGUUGAUCGGUUCAUUGAUGGUCAUGCUAGAAUCAAGAGCUCACAUGUUGAGGCAGACAAAAAGGAAGAAGCAGAUGACGAUAAAAAAGUGAUAUAUGAGGAUGUAUCUUUGGAGAGAGGUGCUUUUUUGGUGCAACAUGCUAUGAGAG
This 937-nucleotide unclassified non-coding RNA is filed under the name Hevea brasiliensis (rubber tree). The record is from RNAcentral. Lineage: Eukaryota; Viridiplantae; Streptophyta; Magnoliopsida; Malpighiales; Euphorbiaceae.